This 235-nucleotide long non-coding RNA is filed under the name Phaseolus vulgaris (common bean). RNAcentral's name for it is "long non-coding RNA (PVUL_LNC001157)". Lineage: Eukaryota; Viridiplantae; Streptophyta; Magnoliopsida; Fabales; Fabaceae. The record is from RNAcentral.
UUUUUCUUUCCACUUAUUUUACCACUUCCUUAUUCUUUUCCAUCACAAAUAACAUUUUUCUAACUACUUAGUUCUUCUCAAACCAAGCAAUUAUAGAAGAAAAAAUAUGUUAAGUUUUUUAUGACAAACUUAACUUUUAUAUCUUAAAUCACUUUUAUAUUUUCUCACAUGUUAAGUUUCACUAUGAAUUAGUAUACUGUUCACUUCCUUCUGGUUAUAGUAUAGCCAUUCUUUA